Molecule: ribosomal RNA, 603 nt
Filed under: Triticum aestivum (bread wheat)
Lineage: Eukaryota; Viridiplantae; Streptophyta; Magnoliopsida; Poales; Poaceae
Description: partial small subunit ribosomal RNA
Source: RNAcentral
CUAAUUCGCCAAAAUUUCCUACAUCCUGACGCAGAGGCAAUCUUGAAUAUUCUCCUCAAUUCUGUGGGAGGGGAAGAUAUCUUGGCAUGGGACUUGGAAAAGUCAGGAAACUACUCUGUAAAGUCAGCGUAUCGAUCUCUUAUGACUCGCAACGAGCAUAGCUCCAUAGAGGAAGGGACGAUAACGGAAUCUUCAUCGGCAAACAGAGAGUUGUGGACUGCACUUUGGAAGAUCCAUGUGCUACCGAAGGUUCGAGUGUUCGGUGGCGAGUUCUCAGAGGCAUUUUACCAGACUCGGUGACCUUGCAGUACAGGCAUAUCAAAACCAGCGGCCGGUGUGACAUUUGUAUGGCCAUGGAUGAGAAUCUGCUGCAUGCGCUUGUUUCAUGCACUCAUGCACGGAAAUUUUGGGCAACAGCUAAGGACCGUUUCGGCUUCCGACUACCACAGCUGCACCCCGAUACUUGGGCUCGUGAUAUUCUGUUGGAUAGCUUAUUCUCUGAUGAUACACGGUGCAAAAUCAUCUCCAUCAUGCACUCUAUUUGGACUUCAAGGAAUAACUGGACUCACGGCCGCGACGGGUAUGACCCGGCCACGGCGCUGA